RNAcentral lists this ribosomal RNA (354 nucleotides) under uncultured bacterium. RNAcentral's name for it is "partial 16S ribosomal RNA". It matches the Rfam family "Bacterial small subunit ribosomal RNA", at positions 338 to 690 of the family's 1533-position model. The record is from RNAcentral.
CCUACGGGGGGCAGCAGUGAGGAAUAUUGGUCAAUGGGCGGGAGCCUGAACCAGCCAAGUCGCGUGAGGGACGACGGUCCUAUGGAUUGUAAACCUCUUUUGUCGGGGAACAAAGGCGGCCACGGGUGGGCGGAUGAGUGUACCCGAAGAAAAAGCAUCGGCUAACUCCGUGCCAGCAGCCGCGGUAAUACGGAGGAUGCGAGCGUUAUCCGGCUUGAUUGGGUUUAAAGGGUGCGUAGGCGGACCGUCAAGUCAGCGGUAAAAAUGCGGUGCUCAACGCCGUCCCGCCGUUGAAACUGGAAGUCUUGCGUGGGCGCGACGUAUGCGUCUUGCGUGGUGUCGCGGUGAAUUGCU